Molecule: ribosomal RNA, 253 nt
Filed under: uncultured bacterium
Lineage: Bacteria
Description: partial 16S ribosomal RNA
Rfam family: Bacterial small subunit ribosomal RNA
Source: RNAcentral
UACGAAGGGGGCUAGCGUUGCUCGGAAUCACUGGGCGUAAAGCGCACGUAGGCGGCUUUUUAAGUCAGGGGUGAAAUCCUGGAGCUCAACUCCAGAACUGCCUUUGAUACUGGGAAGCUUGAGUCCGGGAGAGGUGAGUGGAACUGCGAGUGUAGAGGUGAAAUUCGUAGAUAUUCGCAAGAACACCAGUGGCGAAGGCGGCUCACUGGCCCGAUACUGACGCUGAGGCACGAAAGCGUGGGGAGCAAACAGG